AAAAAAAAAAAAACCACGAAAAAAGAAAUAUGAUUGGACCAGAAGGCCAAUAACCUGAGUGGGGAAACCCAGCAAGUCCUGUCCGUGUAGAUUCUUCUUGACCUUUCUCUGCAGCAUUCCUUCCUUCUGAGUACGGGGCAGGACUCUCUCUGGGAUGGAGGGGUCUUAGGACCUGCAAGCAAACAAGACUCAGCCCACCUGCACUGAGGUGAAAUAAACAGCUUUAUUGCUCACACAAAGCCUGUUGGUGGACUCUCUUCACAUUGAUGCGCGUGACAUUUUGUGCUGUGACUUGGAUUGGGGGCCCUUCCUUGGGAGAUCAAUCCCCUGUCCUCCUGCUCUUUGCUCCAGGAGAAAGAUCCACCACGACCUUGGGUCUUCGGACCAACCAGCCCAAGGAACAUCUCACCAAUUUUAAAUCG
Molecule: long non-coding RNA, 422 nt
Filed under: Homo sapiens (human)
Lineage: Eukaryota; Metazoa; Chordata; Mammalia; Primates; Hominidae
Description: non-protein coding IDH2-DT:20
Source: RNAcentral